AAACCUUUCAACAACGGAUCUCUUGGUUCCGGCAUCGAUGAAGAACGCAGCGAAAUGCGAUAAUUAAUGUGAAUUGCAGAAUUCAGUGAAUCAUCGAGUCUUUGAACGCACAUUGCGCCCCCUGGUAUUCCGGGGGGCAUGCCUGUCCGAGCGUCAU
Molecule: ribosomal RNA, 157 nt
Filed under: Aspergillus amstelodami
Lineage: Eukaryota; Fungi; Ascomycota; Eurotiomycetes; Eurotiales; Aspergillaceae
Description: 5.8S ribosomal RNA
Rfam family: 5.8S ribosomal RNA
About the family: 5.8S ribosomal RNA (5.8S rRNA) is a component of the large subunit of the eukaryotic ribosome.
Source: RNAcentral